RNAcentral lists this non-coding RNA (29 nucleotides) under Rattus norvegicus (Norway rat). Lineage: Eukaryota; Metazoa; Chordata; Mammalia; Rodentia; Muridae. The record is from RNAcentral.
UAAGAAUAAAUUCAGCUUCAAGGGUAUGC